Long non-coding RNA from Anopheles darlingi, 799 nucleotides. RefSeq lists it as uncharacterized. The record is from RefSeq and is a predicted model, not a curated record. The transcript has 3 exons. NCBI's taxonomy places the organism in Eukaryota, Metazoa, Arthropoda, Insecta, Diptera, Culicidae.
GCACGGUUUCAGUCGUCGGGUGCCGUUUUUCCGUGCGGUAGGGUUUCGUUCGCGCGCGCAAUACGUGCACCGUUCCGUGCGUUUCAUUCGUGCAACUCACAGCAGGAGGGUCUGCCGUGACCUGAAAAAGUGAAAACCUUGGAAAAACCUCCAGACCAGAAUACGUGCGCCGAUCGAGUUUUGGCUUUGGGCAGAGCGGCAACGAACGUGUGCGAACACCCCCCACUCGAAAGUGCGCGCCCGUUGCGGUAGAAGGAAGAAGCAGGCACGAUAAAGCAGAAGAGAAUAUGUGAAGCAAGAUUUGUGUCAAACCCCGUGUGCGCGCUGCUAAGCGGCUCAGAUCGCGCGCGCGCGCGCGCCAGCGACCGCGACCGCGAUCAUCGCGCUGACCGGAGCCCGUGGUAUGUGAGGAAGUUGCGCUUUCGUUCGGUCCACGUUAUCAAAACAUUUUGAUAAACUUAAGAAACGGAUGAUGAUAGCAUUAUGCGUAGGCUAGGUUGACAAAGUGAAGAGUUUAGUGAAUGUGUCGUUUAAAUCGAUAAACAGCAGUGUGCGAGUGUGUAUCGAAGCCGCGGCUUGUGUGGCAACAAACUGUGUUUAAGGCGGUAUAGUCGUUUUGCAAAAUCCUCGUUCAUCGACAUCAAACGUCACUGAUAGCGCAGGAAGCGCGCGAUACCAGCAUUGAAGGUGAACAUUGACUACCAUAUAAAAAUCAAAAGUACGUAUCAAUCCCGCCGUUAUCGUUCAAUCGAACCAGGAUUCUCGUGGCUGCUCAGCUGUGAUGUGGUAUGACAGACAG